AACGAACGCUGGCGGCAGGCUUAACACAUGCAAGUCGAGCGGGCCCGCAAGGGUCAGCGGCGGACGGGUUAGUAACGCGUGGGAACGUGCCUUUUGCUUCGGAAUAGCCCUGGGAAACUGGGGGUAAUACCGGAUGUGCCCUGAGGGGGAAAGAUUUAUCGGCAAGAGAUCGGCCCGCGUUGGAUUAGGUAGUUGGUGGGGUAACGGCCCACCAAGCCGACGAUCCAUAGCUGGUUUGAGAGGAUGAUCAGCAACACUGGGACUGAGACACGGCCCAGACUCCUACGGGAGGCAGCAGUGGGGAAUCUUAGACAAUGGGCGCAAGCCUGAUCUAGCCAUGCCGCGUGGGUGAUGAAGGCCUUAGGGUCGUAAAGCCCUUUCGCCGGGGAAGAUAAUGACGGUACCCGGUAAAGAAACCCCGGCUAACUCCGUGCCAGCAGCCGCCGCAG
RNAcentral lists this ribosomal RNA (449 nucleotides) under uncultured bacterium. RNAcentral's name for it is "partial 16S ribosomal RNA". It matches the Rfam family "Bacterial small subunit ribosomal RNA", at positions 29 to 523 of the family's 1533-position model. The record is from RNAcentral.